RNAcentral lists this long non-coding RNA (426 nucleotides) under Capsicum annuum. Its description in RNAcentral is "long non-coding RNA (CANN_LNC019983)". Lineage: Eukaryota; Viridiplantae; Streptophyta; Magnoliopsida; Solanales; Solanaceae. The record is from RNAcentral.
AAAAAAAACAAAGAAAAAUCAAAGGAGAAGAGGAAAAGAAAUUAGGGUUUGGAGUUUAGGAUCUCCGUCUGAGUUUCUUUUUGGUUCGACGUAAGAGCUCCUCUUUCGAUUUAGUUCGUCAUACAGGUUUUUAUUUAAUUCCUAUACCAUUACUUUUGUAAAUUUGGUUAUGAAUCGAAGCAUGAAUGAAGGAGGUUAUUCUAAUGGCUUGUUAUAUUAUUUAGUAGGUGUAGUGUAUUAUUUCUAUGUAAUUUGCUCUAUGUUUUCAUUUAUAACUUGUUUGUCAUUUUGAAAAAAAAAAUGAAGUUAAUUAGAUUUUGUUUGAAUUUUAAAUGGGAUAAUUUUUAAAUUUAUUAGCGUUAAAAUAUGUAACGUUACACUCGGUUUGCGUGUGAUUAAUGUAGUUGCGUUGUAAACUAAAAUUUU